ACCCUAUUGGCUAAUCUGGUCAGC
RNAcentral lists this small nuclear RNA (24 nucleotides) under Arabidopsis thaliana (thale cress). RNAcentral's name for it is "snRNA_13975". The record is from RNAcentral. Lineage: Eukaryota; Viridiplantae; Streptophyta; Magnoliopsida; Brassicales; Brassicaceae.